UAAACCGUCAGAUCUCAUGAGAAUUCCCUCA
RNAcentral lists this non-coding RNA (31 nucleotides) under Homo sapiens (human). The record is from RNAcentral. Lineage: Eukaryota; Metazoa; Chordata; Mammalia; Primates; Hominidae.